UACCUACGGGAGGCAGCAGUGAGGAAUAUUGGUCAAUGGGCGCGAGCCUGAACCAGCCAAGUCGCGUGAGGGAAGACGGUCCUACGGAUUGUAAACCUCUUUUGUCGGGGAGCAAAAAGGCCUCGUGAGGCCACAAGUGAGAGUACCCGAAGAAAAAGCAUCGGCUAACUCCGUGCUAGCAGCCGCGGUAAUACGGAGGGUGCGAGCGUUAAUCGGGAUUACUGGGCGUAAAGCGCUCGUAGGCGGUAUGUCAAGUCAAGGGUGAAAUCCCCGCGCUCAACGUGGGAACUGCCUUUGAAACUGGC
RNAcentral lists this ribosomal RNA (305 nucleotides) under uncultured bacterium. Its description in RNAcentral is "bacterial SSU rRNA". It matches the Rfam family "Bacterial small subunit ribosomal RNA", at positions 335 to 637 of the family's 1533-position model. The record is from RNAcentral.